GGCUUCGUAGCUCAGCUGGUAGAGCGUUUGCCAUGUUCUGGCAUGGUGUUCUUGUCGCUGGUUCGAAUCCAGCCGAAGCCC
RNAcentral lists this transfer RNA (81 nucleotides) under Paragonimus skrjabini miyazakii. RNAcentral's name for it is "Paragonimus miyazakii tRNA". It matches the Rfam family "tRNA". Rfam says of the family: Transfer RNA (tRNA) molecules are approximately 80 nucleotides in length. Their secondary structure includes four short double-helical elements and three loops (D, anti-codon, and T loops). Lineage: Eukaryota; Metazoa; Platyhelminthes; Trematoda; Plagiorchiida; Troglotrematidae. The record is from Rfam by way of RNAcentral.